AUAUGGAAUGUGGGUUAAAAGAUCAGUAGGUCCUAGACCAGCGAACACCAUGAGUAAAUACACAACGCAAUCAAGUUUUCAUGAGAAUGAGGAGGCCAGCUUCCCUAAAAUGAUAAGUACAUGCUGGGUAAGCAGAUUGGACCUGGUUAUGAAGGUUUUGAAAAGCACACCAGAGCUUAGGCUGGAUAUAAUAGUCAACGAGGACUUCUAUAGGUGAUGUGGGUUGGACCAAGGGAACCCCUUACUUCAUAUGCUGAUGGCUUGGGAACCCUGGCCUCUUACCUUUGCUGUCUUGGGAAUUAUGACUACUCUCAAUCCCCAUAAGGUCCUCUUUCUCACAGGCAUGAAGACAACAGUGAGUGAGGCAGAACAUCCCCUCUUAUGUGAAGGCACACGUCGGGAGAAGGGUGACCUGGCAUUAGCACUAAUGAUCACUUACAAGGACGACCAGGCCAAGCUUAAGAAGGUAAGAUACUGGGGCUGGG
Molecule: long non-coding RNA, 485 nt
Filed under: Pan troglodytes (chimpanzee)
Lineage: Eukaryota; Metazoa; Chordata; Mammalia; Primates; Hominidae
Description: long non-coding RNA NONPTRT001792
Source: RNAcentral